RNAcentral lists this ribosomal RNA (467 nucleotides) under uncultured bacterium. Its description in RNAcentral is "partial 16S ribosomal RNA". It matches the Rfam family "Bacterial small subunit ribosomal RNA", at positions 28 to 506 of the family's 1533-position model. The record is from RNAcentral.
GACGAACGCUGGCGGCGUGCUUAACACAUGCAAGUCGAACGGAAAGGCCCUGCUUUUGUGGGGUGCUCGAGUGGCGAACGGGUGAGUAACACGUGAGUAACCUGCCUUUGACUUUGGGAUAACUUCAGGAAACUGGGGCUAAUACCGGAUAGGAGCUCCUGCUGCAUGGUGGGGGUUGGAAAGUUUCGGCGGUUGGGGAUGGACUCGCGGCUUAUCAGCUUGUUGGUGGGGUAGUGGCUUACCAAGGCUUUGACGGGUAGCCGGCCUGAGAGGGUGACCGGCCACAUUGGGACUGAGAUACGGCCCAGACUCCUACGGGAGGCAGCAGUGGGGAAUAUUGCACAAUGGGCGGAAGCCUGAUGCAGCAACGCCGCGUGCGGGAUGACGGCCUUCGGGUUGUAAACCGCUUUCGCCUGUGACGAAGCGUGAGUGACGGUAAUGGGUAAAGAAGCACCGGCUAACUACGU